ACAUGCCUACAACAUAGUGUCAAUGCAUCAGAUCUCAUUAGAACUUCGUAGUUAAGCGCGCUCAGCCUAGAGUAGUACUGGGAUGGGUGACCGCUUGGGAAGUCCUAGUGUUUUACAUGCC
This is a non-coding RNA of Picea glauca (white spruce), 121 nucleotides long. The record is from Rfam. Lineage: Eukaryota; Viridiplantae; Streptophyta; Pinopsida; Pinales; Pinaceae.